Molecule: non-coding RNA, 64 nt
Organism: Trichonephila clavata
Lineage: Eukaryota; Metazoa; Arthropoda; Arachnida; Araneae; Nephilidae
Source: the annotation of a GenBank genome assembly
GGUAGCCAAGUGGUCAAGGUAUUGGAUUAUGGCUAGCAUGACAUGAGUUCGAGCCCCAUUACCA